UGGCCAGUAGUUCAAUAGGUGAGAUCGUCCCACCUGUAAUGGGAAAAUGAGGGUUCGAAUCCUUCUUGGCUUG
This 73-nucleotide transfer RNA is filed under the name Lachnospiraceae bacterium. RNAcentral describes it as "tRNA-Thr". It matches the Rfam family "tRNA". Rfam says of the family: Transfer RNA (tRNA) molecules are approximately 80 nucleotides in length. Their secondary structure includes four short double-helical elements and three loops (D, anti-codon, and T loops). The record is from RNAcentral. Lineage: Bacteria; Bacillati; Bacillota; Clostridia; Lachnospirales; Lachnospiraceae.